This 786-nucleotide long non-coding RNA is filed under the name Oryza sativa aus subgroup. RNAcentral's name for it is "lncRNA OsN22_07G027640". The record is from RNAcentral. Lineage: Eukaryota; Viridiplantae; Streptophyta; Magnoliopsida; Poales; Poaceae.
GAUGCUGGGCUUGGCGACUCGGUUUUCCGGCUCGGAAGUGACGCUUUUUUACGCGCCAAUUCUCUCGCGCGGAUCACAGAACCACGCGGGCAGAUAGAGAAGAGAAAGAGACCCGGCUGCGACGAGUCUAACUGCCAACCUGGCAGCACUUCCAGCAAGCGGAAGAGGGUCGGUCAUAUUUAUCCCAUAAUAUGGCUAAUUUUUUUUAGAAAAAGACCUGGCGGCGCGGUUAGUCGGGCCCACCACCCACCCACUGGGGAGUGGGCCCUCCCUCCCGCAUACACGUUGCAGCUGGACGCGGCGUUCACACCAACUCAACGUGCGCCAAUUCGGAAGGAGCACCCAUCUUUCCCCUUUCUCCUUCUCCUCCUCCUGCUCCCAGCCGCUCACUCGAACCCCCCCCCCCCCCCCACCUUCCUCGCCGCCGCUGCCCCGAGGGCGCGGGAGAUAACCUCGCCGGAGCACCGCCACCGCCGCUGUCGAUCUUCUUCCCCGAGGCAAAGCCAGGAGUCUAGACAAACUCAGCUUCAUGAGUUCAAGUUCAGGAAAAGCACUGGCAUCCAGCAUCUCCUAUUCAGCAGGAAAGAGCAGCAUUUUCUUGCUCUGCCUCUUUGCAGGAUACUUGGGAAUUCCUGGCCGAAAAUUCCACUUGCUCAAGACCGUUUGCAGCACUGCAUCUCCUUCCAUCAUUGGAAGUUGUGGAGGGAACCUUCUUUAGACUACUUUAGCACAAGUCUUCAGUUUCUAUUAGUGUGGAAGCUUGGCCUGCAAAACCAGCAACCUUAG